GCGUGAUGACGAGGCACUACGGUGCUGAAGCAACAAAUGCCCUGCUUCCAGGAAAAGCCUCUAAGCAUCAGGUAACAUCAAAUCGUACCCCAAACCGACACAGGUGGUCAGGUAGAGAAUACCAAGGCGCUUGAGAGAACUCGGGUGAAGGAACUAGGCAAAAUGGUGCCGUAACUUCGGGAGAAGGCACGCUGAUAUGUAGGUGAAGUCCCUCGCGGAUGGAGCUGAAAUCAGUCGAAGAUACCAGCUGGCUGCAACUGUUUAUUAAAAACACAGCACUGUGCAAACACGAAAGUGGACGUAUACGGUGUGACGCCUGCCCGGUGC
This 327-nucleotide ribosomal RNA is filed under the name Escherichia coli. RNAcentral describes it as "partial 23S ribosomal RNA". It matches the Rfam family "Bacterial large subunit ribosomal RNA", at positions 1561 to 1869 of the family's 2925-position model. The record is from RNAcentral. Lineage: Bacteria; Pseudomonadati; Pseudomonadota; Gammaproteobacteria; Enterobacterales; Enterobacteriaceae.